Molecule: ribosomal RNA, 425 nt
Filed under: uncultured bacterium
Lineage: Bacteria
Description: bacterial SSU rRNA
Rfam family: Bacterial small subunit ribosomal RNA
Source: RNAcentral
GUGGGGAAUCUUGCGCAAUGGGCGAAAGCCUGACGCAGCCAUGCCGCGUGAAUGAUGAAGGUCUUAGGAUUGUAAAAUUCUUUCACCGGGGACGAUAAUGACGGUACCCGGAGAAGAAGCCCCGGCUAACUUCGUGCCAGCAGCCGCGGUAAUACGAAGGGGGCUAGCGUUGCUCGGAAUUACUGGGCGUAAAGGGCGCGUAGGCGGACAGUUUAGUCAGAGGUGAAAGCCCAGGGCUCAACCUUGGAAUUGCCUUUGAUACUGGCUGUCUUGAGUACGGGAGAGGUGAGUGGAACUCCGAGUGUAGAGGUGAAAUUCGUAGAUAUUCGGAGGAACACCAGUGGCGAAGGCGGCUCACUGGCUCGAUACUGACGCUGAGGUGCGAAAGCGUGGGGAGCAAACAGGAUUAGAAACCCCUGUAGUCC